GCAUUGCUGAGGAGUCCUAAACUAGGAUGAAACGGCCGUCCAGUGC
RNAcentral lists this non-coding RNA (46 nucleotides) under Schistosoma haematobium. The record is from RNAcentral. Lineage: Eukaryota; Metazoa; Platyhelminthes; Trematoda; Strigeidida; Schistosomatidae.